This 610-nucleotide ribosomal RNA is filed under the name uncultured archaeon. Its description in RNAcentral is "bacterial SSU rRNA". It matches the Rfam family "Archaeal small subunit ribosomal RNA", at positions 63 to 662 of the family's 1478-position model. The record is from RNAcentral.
UGGAUACCUAAGUUCCCAUAGCAAACUGCUCAGUAACACAUGAUCAACUUACCCUAUAGAGAAAAACAACCUCGGGAAACUGAGGAUAAUGUUUCAUAAUUGAAUUGGCUUGGAAAAGUUUUUCAAUGAAAGGGAUAAAAAAAAUGGUUUUUAUCUGCUAUAGGAUAGGAUCGUGUUCGAUUAUGGUUGUUGGUGAGAUAAUGGCUCACCAAGCCGAUAAUCGAUAGGGGCCGUGAGAGCGGGAGCCCCGAGAUGGGUACUGAGACAACGACCCAGGCCUUACGAGGCGCANCAGGCGCGGAACCUCCGCAAUACACGAAAGUGUGACGGGGUUACCCAAAGUGUUCAAUAGAACUGUGGUAGGUGAGUAAUGUCCCCUACUANAAAGGAGAGGGCAAGGCUGGUGCCAGCCGCCGCGGUAAAACCAGCUCUUCAAGUGGUCGGGAUAAUUAUUGGGCUUAAAGUGUCCGUAGCCGGUUUAGUAAGUUCCUGGUAAAAUCGGGUAGCUUAACUAUCUGCAUGCUAGGAAUACUGCUAUACUAGANGGCGGGAGAGGUCUGAGGUACUACAGGGGUAGGGGUGAAAUCUUAUAAUCCUUGUAGGACCACCA